RNAcentral lists this ribosomal RNA (609 nucleotides) under Vibrio sp. RNAcentral's name for it is "bacterial SSU rRNA". The record is from RNAcentral. Lineage: Bacteria; Pseudomonadati; Pseudomonadota; Gammaproteobacteria; Vibrionales; Vibrionaceae.
GGUGAGUAAUGCCUAGGAAAUUGCCUUGAUGUGGGGGGAUAACCAUUGGAAACGAUGGCUAAUACCGCAUAAUGCCUACGGGCCAAAGAGGGGGACCUUCGGGCCUCUCGCGUCAAGAUAUGCCUAGGUGGGAUUAGCUAGUUGGUGAGGUAAUGGCUCACCAAGGCGACGAUCCCUAGCUGGUCUGAGAGGAUGAUCAGCCACACUGGAACUGAGACACGGUCCAGACUCCUACGGGAGGCAGCAGUGGGGAAUAUUGCACAAUGGGCGAAAGCCUGAUGCAGCCAUGCCGCGUGUAUGAAGAAGGCCUUCGGGUUGUAAAGUACUUUCAGUUGUGAGGAAGGGGGUWRYGUUAAUAGCGYUAUCUCUUGACGUUAGCAACAGAAGAAGCACCGGCUAACUCCGUGCCAGCAGCCGCGGUAAUACGGAGGGUGCGAGCGUUAAUCGGAAUUACUGGGCGUAAAGCGCAUGCAGGUGGUUCAUUAAGUCAGAUGUGAAAGCCCGGGGCUCAACCUCGGAACUGCAUUUGAAACUGGUGAACUAGAGUACUGUAGAGGGGGGUAGAAUUUCAGGUGUAGCGGUGAAAUGCGUAGAGAUCUGAAGGAAUAC